RNAcentral lists this non-coding RNA (24 nucleotides) under Arabidopsis thaliana (thale cress). The record is from RNAcentral. Lineage: Eukaryota; Viridiplantae; Streptophyta; Magnoliopsida; Brassicales; Brassicaceae.
UAAGAUGGAGUGUAUAGGGACUGC